GGGGGUGUAGCUCAGUUGGUAGAGCGCUUGAAUGGCAUUCAAGAGGUCAGGGGUUCGAUUCCCCUUACCUCCA
This 73-nucleotide transfer RNA is filed under the name Spirochaetales bacterium. Its description in RNAcentral is "tRNA-Ala". It matches the Rfam family "tRNA". Rfam says of the family: Transfer RNA (tRNA) molecules are approximately 80 nucleotides in length. Their secondary structure includes four short double-helical elements and three loops (D, anti-codon, and T loops). The record is from RNAcentral. Lineage: Bacteria; Pseudomonadati; Spirochaetota; Spirochaetia; Spirochaetales. RNAcentral also lists the same sequence under 1 other name.